This 441-nucleotide ribosomal RNA is filed under the name uncultured bacterium. RNAcentral describes it as "partial 16S ribosomal RNA". It matches the Rfam family "Bacterial small subunit ribosomal RNA", at positions 338 to 795 of the family's 1533-position model. The record is from RNAcentral.
CCUACGGGUGGCAGCAGUGGGGGAUAUUGCACAAUGGGGGAAACCCUGAUGCAGCGACGCCGCGUGGGUGAAGAAGUAUUUCGGUAUGUAAAGCCCUAUCAGCAGGGAAGAAAGAAGACGGUACCUGACUAAGAAGCCCCGGCUAACUACGUGCCAGCAGCCGCGGUAAUACGUAGGGGGCGAGCGUUAUCCGGAUUCACUGGGUGUAAAGGGAGCGUAGACGGCCGUGCAAGCCAGGAGUGAAAGCCCGGGGCCCAACCCCGGGACUGCGCUUGGAACUGUGCGGCUGGAGUGCGGGAGGGGCAGGCGGAAUGCCUGGUGUCGCGGUGAAAUGCGUAGAUAUCAGGAGGAACACCGGCGGCGAAGGCGGCCUGCUGGACCGCGACUGACGUUGAGGCUCGAAAGCGUGGGGAGCGAACAGGAUUAGAUACCCUAGUAGUC